GAUGAACGCUGGCGGCGUAGCCUAAUACAUGCAAGGUCGAACGGAAGGUAGCAAUACCUUUAGUGGCGAACGGGUGAGUAACGCGUUGGUGACCUGCCCCGAAGCGUGGGAUAACAGUCCGAAAGGAUUGCUAAUACCGCAUGUGGUCCAAGAGACUAGAGGCUUAUGGACUAAAGGAGACAUUCACUUCGGGAGGGCCUGCGUCCCAUCAGCUAGUUGGUAGGGUAACGGCCUACCAAGGCGAUGACGGGUAGGGGACCUGAGAGGGUGGCCCCCCACAAUGGAACUGAAACACGGUCCAUACACCUACGGGUGGCAGCAGUAGGGAAUAUUGCAAAAUGGGCGCAAGCCCGAUGCAGCAACGCCGCGUGGGCGAUGAAGGCCUUCGGGUCGUAAAGCCCUUUUUGAGGGGAUGAGGAAGGACAGUACCCUCAGAAUAAGCCUCGGCUAACUACGUG
Molecule: ribosomal RNA, 458 nt
Filed under: uncultured bacterium
Lineage: Bacteria
Description: bacterial SSU rRNA
Rfam family: Bacterial small subunit ribosomal RNA
Source: RNAcentral